UCCAGACUCCUACGGGAGGCAGCAGUGGGGAAUAUUGCACAAUGGGGGAAACCCUGAUGCAGCGACGCCGCGUGAGCGAUGAAGUAUUUCGGUAUGUAAAGCUCUAUCAGCAGGGAAGAAGAUGACGGUACCUGACUAAGAAGCCCCGGCUAACUACGUGCCAGCAGCCGCGGUAAUACGUAGGGGGCAAGCGUUAUCCGGAUUUACUGGGUGUAAAGGGAGCGUAGACGGCGAUGCAAGCCAGAUGUGAAAGCCCGGGGCUCAACCCCGGGACUGCAUUUGGAACUGUGUGGCUGGAGUGCAGGAGGGGCAGGCGGAAUUCCUGGUGUAGCGGUGAAAUGCGUAGAUAUCAGGAGGAACACCGGUGGCGAAGGCGGCCUGCUGGACUGCAACUGACGUUGAGGCCCGAAAGCGUGGGGAGCAAACAGGAUUAGAUACCCCGGUAUCC
Molecule: ribosomal RNA, 448 nt
Filed under: uncultured bacterium
Lineage: Bacteria
Description: bacterial SSU rRNA
Rfam family: Bacterial small subunit ribosomal RNA
Source: RNAcentral